Humulus lupulus (European hop) is the source of this 524-nucleotide long non-coding RNA. RefSeq lists it as uncharacterized. The record is from RefSeq and is a predicted model, not a curated record. NCBI's taxonomy places the organism in Eukaryota, Viridiplantae, Streptophyta, Magnoliopsida, Rosales, Cannabaceae. The transcript is spliced from 3 exons.
UAUCAAACAAAUAUUUUCCAUAAAUUUUCACGUCUUAAGGGCAUAGCUGAAAGUGCAUUACAGAAAGAUAUAACUCUGGCUGUUGAGGGUUUGUUAGGAGUUUUCUUUACAAUGGCUGUAUUAACAGAUGAAGCAAUUGAUGUUGGUGAGGUAUUUAUUUUUUUUACUAUAAGAUUUCUUCUAUAUAAUAAAGCAAGCAGUUCAUCUGAGGGCUGACUAGCUUGUCUUGUGUACCAGCUUCAAUCUCCGAGAUGUGAUUCUGAUCCACCUAUUAUUAAGUCUAUCGAGAAAACAACACAUCUCUGUCUCUCAAUGGUUGAUUCAUUUUGGUUGACCAUACUUGAUGCAUUGUCUCUUAUUUUGUCAAGGUCACAAGGAGAGGCUAUUGUGUUGGAAAUACUAAAGGGAUAUCAAGCAUUCACACAGUGCUUUAUAGUCUCCUGGUUCGAAACGCUCUGAAUUAUCAGUUGAUCAAAGAGAAAGCAUUGUCCUUACCCCCAAAAAUGUGCAGGUGGUUGGAAUUU